Molecule: ribosomal RNA, 305 nt
Filed under: uncultured prokaryote
Description: bacterial SSU rRNA
Rfam family: Bacterial small subunit ribosomal RNA
Source: RNAcentral
GUGCCAGCCGCCGCGGUAAUACGGAGGGUGCGAGCGUUACCCGGAUUUACUGGGCGUAAAGGGCGUGUAGGCGGUUUUCUAAGUCCGGGGCUAAAGACCAGGGCUCAACCCUGGGUUUGCCUUGGAUACUGGAAAGCUCGACGGCUGGAGGGGGCAGCGGAAUUUCCGGAGUAGCGGUGAAAUGCGCAGAUACCGGAAGGAACGCCAAUAGCGAAGGCAGCUGCCUGGACAGUACGUGACGCUGAGGCGCGAAAGCGUGGGGAGCAAACCGGAUUAGAAACUGGUUCACUAGAGUACUGUAGAGG